Molecule: long non-coding RNA, 3283 nt
Organism: Equus caballus (horse)
Lineage: Eukaryota; Metazoa; Chordata; Mammalia; Perissodactyla; Equidae
Source: Ensembl
GUAGAACAUGGAGAGCUGGAAUCUUGUUUCUAUUUUAGAGAACAUUUGUAGCAUAUAAUGUGAGGUCUUCUCUGUCUCACUUUGCUGACACAUUGUCCUAGGAUUUCUAUUGAAGAACAGCAUCCCUGGGUUGCAAUAUUCUUCAACACACUUCCUCUGUGAGCUCUGCCUUCUACUUCCAAGUUCCUUGAGUGGAAAAUACCUGGUGUUGCAUGUCGUCUGUUGUAGCUGCACAGCCAAACUAGGAAGCACCAGCACCAAUGACCCAGGGACCAGGAAGGGUCCCUUUCUCUAAGGACCCAUAUGAAAGGUGGCAAUGAAUGAUCUGCAUUACCAAGGGGACCUGAAAGGAAAGAAAAAACAACUAUUCCAGUCUGAAAAGAUAGCCUACUCAUAGGCCUGCCACGUAGUGACCACCUCACGAUGAUGUUCUAAGCCCUUUCACCCAUGAGAGAAGAUGAAAUAUGGAGACUGGGAUUGUUGGGCAUCACGGAAUGCUGCUUUGAUGAUUUCAUCUGGAAAAGUUGAAGCUUACCUUAAACAUAAGCUUCAGAGCCUAGGACAGCACAGUAUACAAAAAGUGGUGGGCAUCUGCCUUUUAGUUCAACAACAAGGGAAACCAAAACCAAAAGCAAAUUAAAACAAACAAAUAACAUGGCUUAAUAUUUUGGAAAGCUAAAUUGAAAUUGGUACUGAUAAACUUACUGAUAAAUCACGUUAGAAGAUGGAGAUCGUCUCUAAGGUAGGCAUGCGGUGCACAGAUUGGGCUGUCCUUCCAGCUGCGCGAUGAUUCCAAUGCACUGUGAGGUGGAAUCUACCAGCUCAGUUUUGUUUCAGUGGUCAUUCAUGCCUGUUUGGGUCAAUUCAUAAACAUUGUACUGAAAUAUCAGCUUUAAACAUGCUUCAUAUGUGAUUGCUAGAGCUUAACGCUUUAUUUAACUGUACUUGUUUAGCUUGCUUGAAUUCACUUGCACAAACCUUCUUUUCUAUAAGAGAUAGAAAAAGAAAUGAGAGACUCCUGGUUAAAAGGAAUCAUUCUUGUAAUUAUUUCAUUCUCUCUUCAAUUUUUAAGUCUCUAACUUGGCUAUGAGUCCUACUUGUAUAAUUUCAGUCCUGUAAGAACAAAAUAAUAAGGAUAUCCAUGCAAUAUAAAAUGUGUGUGUGAGAGAGAGAGAGGGAGAGAGAGGCAAGAAAGGAGGAGGAUGAAAAUCUCUCUUUAAAUGAAUUAAAAAUAAAAUCUGUGUGAUAUUAUCAUGCUUAAUAAACUGUGGAAAUGGUAUUUUAGUCUCAGUAGGAGUUUAACUAUUUGCAUGUGUUUUCAGUUCCCUUAAGGCACUUCAAAAAAUAAAUAAACAAAGGAAGAUUAUGAGUUUCCUCUCUAGGAGAGAGCUCCAUCGCUUCCACAGUUUAGGAUGAAAGAACGCUGAAAGGUCUGUGGUUGGAAAGGGGCCAGAAACAGGUUCAGGUUUCAGGUUUCUUUUCAGGUCUGAGGCCUGGUGUAGGGAGGGCCCUUCUAUUCUGUGGCUUGUAUUCCUGCUUCUUUAUUGAUAUGAAACAUAUAGUAGAAAAGAAAGGUACUCAGUUUCCUCCUACGUCCUGAGAUAUUGGGAGCAUUGUUCAUCUUUGGGAGUGGCCACAUCAUUGUAAACUUGGUCAAAAAAAAAUUUCUUACUGAUUUCUAUUAUACAAGUAAAGAUUUUUGUUGAGGUUUGCGGGGGCCAGAAGAAUAGAGGAGUAAGAGUGAUCAGCAGGAGACAGGGAGUUUCCCAGUCGACAGAGUCUACUGAGCACUAGGAGUAACAUGGAUUAUGGCAGCCAGCCCCAGGGAGUGCUGGGAAUUGCUCCUAAUAGAAUUAGGCUGCGGAUUGAUAUUCAUCAGGGAGCAGUAGUCAUCUGACAUUUAGUUGUGCUCGGACCUCAAAAUGCCUCCAAUCUGGUGUUUUACUUUUUGUUUUGUUAAUCCAAUUAGUUAAAAAUUCUGAAUAUCAUUUUAUUUGUGCAUUUGCACAUAGAGCAAAGGGAGUCUGUAGUCAAACAUCAUUGAUUUGAUUUUAGUUCAUUCAAAAUAUUGCCUAAAUUAUCUAAGAGUUGUCUCAAGUCAACCAGCUAGAUUUUCCUUAUUUACGUUAAGUUGAUCUAAUGUAUGGAUGAUGGUGAAGUUGAAGGAAAAACUAUAUCCCUUGAAUACUUCUCACAUUUGCUUCAUAAUUAAAAGUGGCAAACCAGAUUUGUGAAUCAAUAUGGUGACUUCAUAAUAGAAAUAAGAAAAAUCUCGGAUUAGAAAUAAAGCUUUUUUCCCAGCCUCUCUUUAUUCUUCCCUCAAGUUUUAUUAAAAACUUUAAAAAUCAUUAUUAAAGGUUAAAAUAACUAUUAAAAAUGAGAAACAGUAUGUGCUAUGGCAUCUGUUCUUUUGUAUCAAAAUCACAGAACAAAUACUUCAAUUCAUGCUCUUUCAGAGAUAUUUAUUUACUUACCUGAAUUUACUUGGUACAAAAUAUUCCAAGCCUGCAAUUCUGCUGAUAAACUUAUAUGUUUGCCACUGUUGUUUCUCUUUAAACAGCUUUAUUGAGGUAUAACUGAUACGUAAAACUUGCUCAAGCUUAAAAUGUACAAUUUGAUAAGUUGAGACAAACAUAUACAUACCCCUCAAAACUAUCACAACAGUCAAGAUAAUGAAAUAUCCAUCACUUCAAAAAUAUCCUUGAGCCCCUUUGUAAUCUUUCCCUUCUGCCCAUCUUCUCUUCACCUGCUCAUCUCCAGGCAACUAUUGAUCUGCUUGCUGUUCCUACAGAUUUGUUUACGUUUCUAUUGGUUUAUAUGAAUGGAAUUACACGUUGUGUACUCAUCCUGUCCAUUUGUUUUAUUGAAGAGUAUUAAUAUAUUAUUCAGUUUACCCCAGUCCGUUAAUCCAGUCACUUCUUGUUGGACUUUUGAUUUGUGUUCAGAUUUUGUCAAUUAUAUCUAAAGCUGAUAUGAACAUUGUUCAACAAGUCUUUGCAUGGACAUAUGAUUUCAUUUCUCUUGUGUAAACACCUAGGAUUUUAAUGGUUGGAUCAUAUGUUAGGUGAAUGUUUAACUUUUUAAAGAAAAUAUUGAGCCGUUUUCCAAAGUGUUUGUACCAUUUUACAUUUAUAUCAGCAGUGUAUAAGAGUUCCAGUAACACCACAUCCUCUCCUACAUCUGGUAUGGUCAGUGUUUUAAAUUUUAGACACUCUAAGAGAUGUGUAGGAGUAUGUCAUUGUGGACUUAAAAAACAUUUCUCCAUUGACUACUGAGAUUAAGC